AUGCAGAACGCCGCGUGAGUGAUGAUAGGCCUUCGGGUUGUAAAGCUCUGUCUUUGGGGACGAUAAUGACGGUACCCAAGGAGGAAGCCACGGCUAACUACGUGCCAGCAGCCGCGGUAAUA
RNAcentral lists this ribosomal RNA (122 nucleotides) under uncultured Clostridium sp. RNAcentral's name for it is "partial 16S ribosomal RNA". It matches the Rfam family "Bacterial small subunit ribosomal RNA", at positions 386 to 525 of the family's 1533-position model. Lineage: Bacteria; Bacillati; Bacillota; Clostridia; Eubacteriales; Clostridiaceae. The record is from RNAcentral.